This is an RNA transcript of Cotesia glomerata, 1370 nucleotides long. RefSeq lists it as uncharacterized. The record is from RefSeq and is a predicted model, not a curated record. The transcript is spliced from 3 exons. NCBI's taxonomy places the organism in Eukaryota, Metazoa, Arthropoda, Insecta, Hymenoptera, Braconidae.
AAAAAUCAUAAAAAAACUAUUUCAUAAUUGAAAAAUUAAAUUACAAAAUUGUUAUUCGAUUAAAUUAAUUACUGAAUAGGUUAUGCAACAAAGGCUGUAUCCUAGUCGGGUUGCAGUCAACUAGUCAGACUGACAACAUUCCGAAUUAAGGGCGGGGUAAGGGUUUUUCACUUUCGAAAAAUCGAUUUUUUUUUGUUUUAUCUUAUUGUUUAACAUUUCAAGAAUAUGUCCUCAAAAUUUUAAUCCGAUCUAAGCAAUAUUCUUGAAGUUAUUUUUUAAUUAGUCUCGGGGCCUUUAACGCUCUAACUCUAACAGCUACGGGCGGUUGGGAUUGCAGUGCAGCUGUCGAGCAGGUAUACAGGUUAUUCAUUGCUAUUGUCCUGAUCCCAUAUCCAGUUUUAGAAAUAUUUCAUUUAGUAAAGCCAGGGAGUGCUAGUGUACCGGAAGAUGUUGAAAAACAUUUUAGAAUCAUAGAUUUUUUGCUUGUGUUUUCAACCAUCGCAAGUUUAGUAAAAUGUGCUCAGUGUGAUGGUUCAAUCGAGUUCAAGAGCUGUAAAAAAGAAGGACUCGGCUUCCAAAUCCAAGUCAAAUGUACAAAUUGUGAUCCACGCUUUAUACCGUCGAGUGAGAAAACUGGUCAUUGCUAUGAAAUUAACACUCGUUUUGCCUUUGUAAUGCGUACAUUAGGUUUGGAUUUAGCAGGCUGCAAUAAAUUUUGCGGGCUCAUGGACAUAGCAAGUAGUUUUUUAUCAAAACAAUCUUAUUUGGAUCUCAUGAAAUCUAUUUGCUGCAGCAUCGAAACGACUGCUGAGAAAUUUCUUGUCUCCGCCGCAGACGAAGAAAAACAGCUAACACGUGCAAAUUCGGAGUCAAACACUUUGACCGUUUCUGUUAAAUUUGCAUUUUAUGUAGCUGCAUGCACAUUCAAUGAAGGUGCUGGUGCUCUUCUAACUUUUCUGUCUGACAUGGACGUCAGUGUCGGCCCAAGCGCUCACGAGUAUGCAUCAUCUACGGACAGCAAUCACAUUGAUAGGGCCGAGUUCCAAGCUGUGCAGCAGAGCAAAGAAGCCAGAAUAAAACGAAGACUUGAAAAAAAAACAGGCUGAAGACAUCGACAAUGCUGAAGGAUGUGUGCUGUAUGGAGCUGGAAUUGAUGAUUCUGUAUAAUUUCCGGCCGAGUUACAGUGAACACCGCAAAUUGUUUUUUUUUUCAAGACGUCCGGGGGGAAGCUCUGUCACGGGCUAAUGGUUUAAUAUUUUUGCAUGAAAAAUUUACAGAACAUAGUCAAAACUAUGCUCAAUAAUGUAUAGAAGGUUUGAAUAAAAUUGCUCAAUCGAGAUUUGAGAUAAAAAAUCACAAAAAAAGUGUU